UUGUCUAAAGGAUUAAGCCAUGCAUGCGAAAGUACAGGCUCAUUUAAGUAGUCGAAACUGCGAACGGCUCCUUACAACAGUUAUAAUCUACUUGGGAGUUUAAUAUGGAUAACUACGGAAACGCUGUAGCUAAUACAUCGUACCUACUAAAGUAGAUGCUUUCGGGUAUUUGCUUUAGAGGCCAACUCGUUGGAAUUGCAGCCACCCGCAUUGAAGGGGAGUCACAACGAGGGAGCUACGCGUCGGUCUAAUAUAACAGACCGUUUUCUAAGCGCGUACCAAAUGAGUUUCUGAUCUAUCAGCUGGUCGCCAAGGUAUUGUCUUGGUGUGGCUAUGACGGAUAACGGGGAAUUAGAGUUCGAUUCCGGAGAGGGCGCCUGAGAGAUGGCGACUAUAACUACGGUUAGCAGCAGGCGCGAAAAUUGCCCAAUGCCGACAAGGCGAGGCAGCGACCAGACAUACCGGGACCCCGUCAUUUUUUGGUGGAGUCAUUGGAUUCGACCUCCUCUAAACCAGGAGGUGAGAGGCAGUUUAGAUCAAGUUGAAGUGCCAGCAUUCGCGGUAAUACUUCCUUAAACGAAUGUAUGUUAAAGUUGUUGCGGUUAAAACGCUCGUAGUUGAUUGUCCCGCCGGGUAUUGGAUAUCCAGCUUUCUUCGGGAAGUUUUUGGAUUGUCCGAAACCCAAGCGGAUCAUUCCCUUUAUUAAUGAUUCUUUUCGGAGGAUCCUCUUAUAAGGGGAAUAUGUUACCUUGAGUAAAUUAGAGUGUUCCAAGCAGGCUUGUCUGUUUGAAUAUCCCAGCAUGGAAUAACUUUAUUGCGCGACGUCUCUCUAAUCCCGAAAGGGAGUGUGUGGUGCGUUUUAGGGCAACCUAAAACGUGGUGCUGCGAGAGAUGUGGUGCCGAUUAAUAGGAGCAGUUGGGGGCAUCCGUACUCCGAAGCUAGAGGUGAAAUUCUGUGACUUUCGGAAGACGAACAACUGCGAAGGCACUUGCCCAAAAUGCGUCCAUUAAUCAAGAGCGAAGUUAUGGGCAUCGAAAAAGAUCAGAGACCUUUGUAAUCCAUAAAGUAAACUAUGCCGUCCGGGGCGGAGUUGGCUACAUAGAUUUGCUUGCAUUCUAUGCGUAUGCAGGAGAAGUUUCGGCUUCUUUUGUUCUAUGUAUAGAGUAUUGCAGGUAGAUCGCUCGGUGCUUAUUCUGCCCCCGUGAGAAAUCCGAGAUUUUGGGUUCCGGAGCGAGUAUAAGCGCAAGCUAGAAAGUUAAAAGAAUUGACGGAGGGGCACCACAAAGCGUGGAGCUUGCGGCUUAAUUUGACUCAACACGGGAAACCUCACUAGCGUAGGACAGCGGAAGGAUUGACAGGGUUGCAGACCUUUCUUGAUUCGCUGGAGGGUGAUGCAUGGCCGUUCCUAGCUCUUGGCGUGGGCUGUCUGGUUAAUUCCGAUAACGAGCGGGACCUCCCCCUUCACUUCCGCCGGGCACCAUGAUCUCGGAAUGAUUGAAUAUAGUGGCUCUGUUUCUGUCCUUAUUCUACUACAUGUACAUCUUUUCAUUUGCAAAAAUGUUAAGUGUGCAUGUAUGUGUUUAAGUGUACGAAAUGGAUGUCCUUACUGUAUUUAAUUAUUUCGAGGGCGCUAUUUACGUUUUGCGUGCGUGAAGGGACGUCGCGUGUCUAACGCGAGGCAGGGAGGCAACAACAGGUCUGUGAUGUCCUCAGAUAUGCUAGGCUGCACGCGUGCUACACUGACGCGCGCAACGGGCGUUCGUACAUUCGGUUUUUCUUUUUUCUCUUUAUGGGAAAGAAGAAUUAAUCGAUUGUUUGCCCCUCCUGAGAAGGCGGGGGAAUCCCUAAUGCGCGUCGUGACGGGGAUCGAAUCUUGCAAUUAGGAUUCUUGAACGAGGAAUGCUUAGUAAGCGCAACUCAUAAGGUUGCGCUGUAUGCGUAACUGCCCUUUGCACACACCGCCCGUCGUUGCUUUUAAUGGAGUGCCAAGUGACUUGCUUGGAGGUCGAAAUGGAUUUUCAUUUCGCCAAAGUGCUGGGAACUUUGUACUCUAGAGAAAG
This 2061-nucleotide ribosomal RNA is filed under the name Parahaemoproteus sp. RNAcentral's name for it is "SSU rRNA". It matches the Rfam family "Eukaryotic small subunit ribosomal RNA". Lineage: Eukaryota; Apicomplexa; Aconoidasida; Haemosporida; Haemoproteidae. The record is from RNAcentral.